CGGGGUCGAGUUGUAUUUGGAGAGGAUGUUUCGGGUACGGCGCCGGUCUAAGUCCCUUGGAACAGGGCAUCAUAGAGGGUGAGAAGCCCGUAUGUGACCGGUGACCAAGCCCAUGUGAAACUCCUUCGACGAGUCGAGUUGUUUGGGAAUGCAGCUCAAAAUGGGAGGUAAAUUUCUUCUAAAGCUAAAUACCGGCCAGAGACCGAUAGCGCACAAGUAGAGUGAUCGAAAGAUGAAAAGCACUUUGGAAAGAGAGUCAAACAGUACGUGAAAUUGUUGAAAGGGAAGCGCUUGCAACCAGACCUGUCCGCGGGCGAUCAACCUCUGUUCUCAGGGGUGUACUCGUCCACGAUCAGGCCAGCAUCGGUUCGGGCGGCCGGAUAAAGGCCUCGGGAAUGUAGCUCCUCUCGGGGAGUGUUAUAGCCCUCGGUGCAAUGCGGCCUGCCCGGACCGAGGACCGCGCUUCGGCUAGGAUGCUGGCGUAAUGGUUGUAAGCGACCCGUCUUGAAACACGGACCAAGGAGUGGAAUAUCUAUGCGAGUGUUUGGGUGUCAAGCCCAUGCGCGGAAUGAAAGUGAACGGAGGUGAGAACCCUUGAGGGCGCAUCAUCGACCGAUCCAGAUGUCUUCGGAUGGAUUUGAGUACGAGCAUAACUAUUCCGACCCGAAAGAUGGUGAACUACACUUGAAUAGGGUGAAGCCAGAGGAAACUCUGGUGGAGGCUCGCAGCGGUUCUGACGUGCAAAUCGAUCGUCAAAUUUGAGUGUAGGGGCGAAAGACUAAUC
Molecule: ribosomal RNA, 784 nt
Filed under: Protoparmeliopsis peltata
Lineage: Eukaryota; Fungi; Ascomycota; Lecanoromycetes; Lecanorales; Lecanoraceae
Description: eukaryotic LSU rRNA
Rfam family: Eukaryotic large subunit ribosomal RNA
Source: RNAcentral